UGCCAGCCGCCGCGGUAAUACGGAGGGGGCGAGCGUUGUUCGGAAUUACUGGGCGUAAAGGGCGCGUAGGCGGGCUUGCAAGUCAGGGGUGAAAGUCCUGGGCUCAACCUGGGGACUGCCUUUGAAACUGCGAGUCUUGAGUCCGGGAGAGGAUGGCGGAAUUCCCAGUGUAGAGGUGAAAUUCGUAGAUAUUGGGAAGAACACCGGUGGCGAAGGCGGCCAUCUGGACCGGUACUGACGCUGAGGCGCGAAAGCGUGGGGAGCAAACAGGAUUAGAUA
This 279-nucleotide ribosomal RNA is filed under the name uncultured bacterium. RNAcentral describes it as "partial 16S ribosomal RNA". It matches the Rfam family "Bacterial small subunit ribosomal RNA", at positions 506 to 784 of the family's 1533-position model. The record is from RNAcentral.